ACAAUGGGCGGGUUUAAAACGAAGAAAGUGGGUGGCCGUUAGUCCCGGAGCCACACAGGAAGUUCGACUUUUACUACAAAUUUUAAAACGUGUGAACUUCACAAAGCACUUACUGAAACCCUGACCGAGAACUACAAGGGGCAAUUUCUAAAUAGUACCUGAUCUCCUGUGCCACCGUCUUGCUGCAGAAACUCGCGUUGACAGCUGUCCAAGGCAGCCAUUUCCUCUUGUUUCACUGGCUGCUCUGGGGCUACAUGGCACGGAAAGAAGGAAUCGGAGCAAAACAAGAUAAGUUCAAUCUCCACACGGAAAAGGGCAGCCCAUUGCAGAGAACCUUUCCUGUGGCGGUCCUCAUGAGAGCUAGUUCCAUCAUAGAGGUUGAUGAUUUUUGCAACUUCACUUGAAGAAACUUUUAAAGUUCUUGAAGUUUUCCGGAUUGACUGACCUUCAUCAUUACUUUAAGACAUGGACUGUUGUUUCUCUUUGCUUAUUUGAGCUGUUCUUGCCAUAAUAUAAACUUGGUAUUUUACCAAAUAGGGCCAUCUUCUGUAUACCACCCCUACCUUGUAGGGGUGGUAUACACAACUGAUUGGCUCAAAUGCAUUAAGAAUGAAAGAAAUUCCGCAAAUGUACUUUUAACAAGGCACACCUGUUAAUUGAAAUGCAUUCCAGGUGACUACCUCAUGCAGCUGGUUGAGAGAAUGCCAAGUGUGUGCAAAGCUGUCAUCAAGGCAACGGGUGACUAUUUGAAGAAUCUCAAAUAUAUAUAAAAUAUAUUUUCAUUUGUUUAAUGCUUUUUUUGGUUACUACAUGACUCCAUGUGUUAUUUCAUAGUUUUGAUGUCUUAGCUAUUAUUCUACAAUGUAGAAAAUAGUAAAAAAUAAAGAAAAACCCUUGAAUGAGUAGGUGACUGGUACUGUAUAUGUUCAUUGUUCAUCAGUUAUGUUUGGACAGUCUGACAUUGGUUGUGAUUAUGUUAAAAGGAGCACCAAAAGUAAAACAAACCAUUUUUCACUGUUUUACUAUAUGUACAUGUUGUAUUUUUCUUUCUCUAAUGAAUAAAUUGCUCAUUUAUAUAAUGGUA
Molecule: long non-coding RNA, 1084 nt
Organism: Oncorhynchus keta (chum salmon)
Lineage: Eukaryota; Metazoa; Chordata; Actinopteri; Salmoniformes; Salmonidae
Exons: 2
Source: RefSeq, a predicted model, not a curated record